UUGAUGUUUUUUUGCAGGACCUUACUGCUGCC
RNAcentral lists this non-coding RNA (32 nucleotides) under Mus musculus (house mouse). Lineage: Eukaryota; Metazoa; Chordata; Mammalia; Rodentia; Muridae. The record is from RNAcentral.